Cyprinus carpio carpio is the source of this 1151-nucleotide long non-coding RNA. Lineage: Eukaryota; Metazoa; Chordata; Actinopteri; Cypriniformes; Cyprinidae. The record is from Ensembl.
UGAACAUUUAAUGUUUAUAUUCUAAAAACGUUAAGAUGUGCAGUUCCCUUGUUGUGAUUAGAACAUUAUUUAAUGUACAAUAACGCUUCUCUGAAUGUUUAUCAAGUAUAAAUAACAUCAUAAGGACAUUCUGAGAAUGUCGAUGUCAGAAUGUUUUUUCUCAAUCAUGUAAAGUAACAUCAUGAGAACAUUCCAAAAACAUUUUCUCUCAAUGUUAUGAGAAUUGAUUAAUUAAAUCAUAAGAAAGUUCCAUAAACAUUACUUUAAGAACAUUUUGUCUUAUUAUUUAUAAAAACGUUAGCUGUAUUCCCAAAAGUGUGAAGGUCCUGUAAAGGUCAGCUUCAUCCGGCAUAUACUGCAGUUUAUUGAUGUUCCUGUAGAAGUGCUGCUUUGCUCCUUAAUCAUUCAGAAAGUGCUGUUUAUAUCUGAAGUGUCACACUGUGCUAAGCUCUGCGAGUGUGGAAGCUGUUUGCAGGCCGCAGCGGGACACAGAUGAAAGCAUCAGCACUGCUGGCGUCUGGGUCAGCAGUCCUGUCACAGCGGGUCACAGUGACUGGACGUCCCGGCCUGAUUUCAGACCAGAAGCUGCAGGCCUGCAUUCAGGCUCUUCUCUGGUGAAAAAUCGUUUGAGGGAAAAUGCCACCAAACACAUCAGAUAUCAGCUACUGGUCUCAACACCGCAGAGGAAAUGAAGGCCGUAAUGAGCGAUCUGUUUAACAGUCUGUCAUCAGAUCUGGAAUCAGCGGCCGUGAACCCGUCACCUUCACGUCUACAGCAAACGCUCCUGAGCGUCACAUCAGAAAGACUCGCUCACAGCAGCGUCCCUGUGCCAGGUGAACAGAAUGGGUUUGUGUCGGUCUGCCAGCCUCCUCACCGUUGCACAGAAAGCAACAGAAUGCUGCAGAGUCUGCUGUGAUGAUUAGCACUGCGUCUCACACCGGCUUCAGAUCGCCGCAGACGUGACAGCAUGGCUGAAAGUCACGGCAUCAAAGGAAGUGAUAUUAAUGCUGAAGGUCAGAACAUCGAUUCAGGCUGUUCUGCAAAAUUCCCAGUGAAGGACAGAGGCGCGGGUGUGUGUCAGGUGAACGGGAUCGGGUUCUGAAUGAAAGACUCGGAAGACGCACUACAGGGAGAGGGUGCUUGCUUUCUAG